CAGACAGUUGGUGUUGUUACACCACACAAGGUGGUUGGGUAGAAUUAAAAUGACACGUCUGGGGUUCCUUGUCUUUUUGGCAGCGUUCUCAGGUGCCAGCUCCCAGAUCCAGCUGACCCAGUCUGGGGCACAAAUCAAGAAGCCUGGAGAGUCUGUGAAGCUGACGUGUAAAACCGCCGGCUACACUUUUACCAGCUACGACAUUGAGUGGUUACGGCAGGUGCCCGGGAAAGGACUGCAGUGGAUAGGACUUAGCAAUCCCAACAAUGGAGGCACCCACUAUGCCCAGGCCUUCCAGGGGCGAUUCACCAUCACCAGGGACACCUCCAUAAGCACGGCCUAUCUUCAGCUGGGCAGCCUGAGAACCAAUGACACAGCCACGUAUUACUGUGCUAGGGACACAGUGACACAAACCACAUCUACAGCAACUCAAAAACCCCCACUGAUCCGUGCUUUGCUGCCGGUGCGCCGCGUUUUCCUGGUGGAUCCUCCUUUUGCUCUCCCUCCACGUCUGAGCCUUUUGAUUCUCAUCCUGACUGGGACAAGAACCACGCUGGCUCUCCCAAGAAACCUGCGCAGGCGCAUUGCCCACGUUCUGAAUGAGACUUUUGAGGAGAUCACUAAGGCUGAUUACUGCGACGUGAGAGAGCACAUCAAUGCCUUAUUCCGCAUCUAG
Molecule: non-coding RNA, 676 nt
Organism: Trachemys scripta elegans
Lineage: Eukaryota; Metazoa; Chordata; Testudines; Emydidae
Source: the annotation of a RefSeq genome assembly